CAGUCGCCGCGGUAAUACAGAGGGUGCAAGCGUUAAUCGGAAUUACUGGGCGUAAAGCGCGCGUAGGUGGUUCGCCAAGUUGGAUGUGAAAUCCCCGGGCUCAACCUGGGAACUGCAUCCAAAACUGGCGAGCUAGAGUAUGGUAGAGGGUGGUGGAAUUUCCUGUGUAGCGGUGAAAUGCGUAGAUAUAGGAAGGAACAUUAGUGGCGAAGGCGACCACCUGGACUGAUACUGACACUGAGGUGCGAAAGCGUGGGGAGCAAACAGGAUUAGAUACCCCCGUAGUCCCUGUCUCUUAUAU
Molecule: ribosomal RNA, 301 nt
Filed under: uncultured bacterium
Lineage: Bacteria
Description: partial 16S ribosomal RNA
Rfam family: Bacterial small subunit ribosomal RNA
Source: RNAcentral